RNAcentral lists this unclassified non-coding RNA (2202 nucleotides) under Haliotis rubra (blacklip abalone). RNAcentral describes it as "uncharacterized LOC124288152, transcript variant X3". Lineage: Eukaryota; Metazoa; Mollusca; Gastropoda; Lepetellida; Haliotidae. The record is from RNAcentral.
UGCCACCAGGUGGCGUUGACACAGAAAACUCCAAGCAUGGCGGACGGUUCUGAGAUGCGAAUUCUGAACGGGGACAAACCCCCGGACAGUACGUCACUAUCAGCCAAUGACCUUGCAAAAAAGUUGCAGAAGUCUAUGCUAAGGUUGAAGGGGGACUUCAUGACGGGGGAGGGCCGUGGCGUCAACUACACUGAUCUUGCCAAUAGUGAUGUUUUCAAAGAAUACAAGACUCAGGCUGCAUUGCUGCACAAUGUCAGUCUGGAGACUUUAUCACAAAAUCAACUCAAGGCUUUCUUCAUCAACAUCUAUAAUGCUUUAACCAUCCACGGCUUAGCGGAGAAAUCGGUGCUGCCUGACUCGGUGCUAAAGGUGAAUCAGUUCUGGAAGACCACAGCUUACAAGAUUGCAGGGCUGGUCUUUAACCUGGACGAUAUUGAACAUGGGGUGCUGAGAGGCAACAAGGCGCAUCCUGCCUCCACAGAACUACAGUUUGGUCCAAAGGACCCCCGCUUGAAGUACAAAAUGCUGACAACUGACCCACGGAUACACUUUGCUUUAGUCUGCGGGGCUAAGUCUUGCCCAGCUAUCCAGGUGUAUGGAGAGGACAACCUGGAACAGGCGCUGGAGGGAGCCAGCAAGAAUUUCUGUAAACAAGAAGUAUCAAUGUUCACGGAGACUGACGAGAUCUGGUUGUCCAAGCUGUUCCAGUGGUAUCGAGAAGACUUUGGCAAGAUCGACACAGAUGUCAUAAGAUGGGUAAUCCCCUACCUGGAGCCCAGCAUUCAAGACAGGGCCAACAUCCUGCUUCUGAAGCUGGAGACACAAGGAACAGUUGCCAUCAAGUUCAAUGAUUAUGAUUGGUCACUCAACAGUUCAUGAUAGUACAACAUCUCUGAUUGGUUCCCAUCUCUGCAUUUUGUCCCAACCAAUUAUGUUUUAAUGUCAGCAAUAUCUGUGAUGUCUGCCUACAGCUGCCUUUGUAUAACUUCCUGUAACCUUGUUCCCAUGGUCUUUCCAUCAAUAUCUUGAUCUUAAGUGUGGGGUGACCUGUCCAGGUGUGGAACUUUUAGCAGUGGUCAAACUAUUCUUUAAUAGGCUUCUUCCAAAUGUCACUGGGUUGAUUUGGCAGGUCUUGACAAGUUCAAGGCCAUGAUGUGGAAGUAUAUUUCAUAUAACUUUUAUCUUUAAGCCGAAUGUAAGUAUACCCUUUUAGGACAGGAUCCAGUUUGAAAGUUUUAUGGUUUAUCUCUUUAUUGUUAUCUCUUUGUCAGCUGACAGACAUGACCAAGCAUCAACGUUCAUAUUGUUUUAAAUCUCGGCAAAUCCUACAACAUGAACUACUAGGGCUUGUCUGUUGAAGGUCAGGGUCAUCAUGGAGGUUAUUAUGAAACAUGCCUGCAUUGCCAGUUACUGACUACUGUUGAACCAUUAGUACUGUGGUUAAUGAAGGCGAUUUGUGAAUCCUACUGCCGUGACUAAGUCCCUCUUUCUGACAAAUAUUGCUUAUCUCACACAACACAACACUCUUCAGUAUUGAACACUGCCAUGCUGGCUUCCACGAUUAUCUGUAGUUAGUGUCGCCAUGGUAACUGUUUUCAAGUAAAUGUGAGAUGGCAUGGUUCAUUGUUCUAGUCCUAUGACAGAAUUAACAUUCAAUUUUGUUCAAGUAGCAAGUAUAAUUAUUCAUUAUAAUUCCAUGUCUCUAUCUCGUCUGAAAAAAAGUUUGUUCCAAUAUUAAAGAGACAGAUGAUGAUGGAGAUACCUUAUUUAUCUUUUCAUCUGUGAGGUGUUGGCACCGAGUGUUACAUGUGUCUCCUCUUGCAUGUUUGCAAUAUAUACUACUUCCUCAUUGUAGUCAUAGCUUUCAUAUACUGUCAGUGUGACAACUGUUAAUCAUACACACACUUUUGUAUCUUCACUAAAAUAGAACAAAAAUACUAUAGCAAUUGUUGAAAAAUGUGUGUAUUGAUAUAAUGGAGUCAUUUGAAAAUCCAUCUUAGACUGUAUGGAGUGUUCCAGCGCCCCCUGGAGGCAACAUAACACAUACGUUACAUCAAUGGCCACACCUACUGUCCUCCCUCAGAGGUUGCUACUACGGCAUGAUGGAUGUGUUUGUCUCUGGCCACACCUACUUUCCUCCCUCAGAGGUUGCUACUACGGCAUGAUGGGUGUGUUUGUCUCUGGCCACACCUACUUUCCUCC